Populus trichocarpa (black cottonwood) is the source of this 946-nucleotide long non-coding RNA. RefSeq lists it as uncharacterized. NCBI's taxonomy places the organism in Eukaryota, Viridiplantae, Streptophyta, Magnoliopsida, Malpighiales, Salicaceae. The transcript has 2 exons. The record is from RefSeq and is a predicted model, not a curated record.
CCACGUCUCUUGCCCAUGAUCCCGUUCGUGAUUUGAAUAACAGUCCUGCAAAGGCAGGACUGGUUGAGGGGCAAAUUUCUCUAUAAAAGGGAGAAGAAAACCCAGAACAAGGGGCCGAAAAAUGAGAGGAGAAAAACAGAACCAGUGGGGGAUUUGUGGGACCGAAAACCAGAGAAAAGAACUGAAGUAAAACCCAGAGUAAAAAAACCCAGAAAACAGAGAGGGACGAACAGGCCAAGAACAGGGGUGAAAGACGAAAACAGGGAGGGGCAGAACUGAAGCUAAACCCAGACGAAAAACCAGAAACCGGAGAAAAGAACAGAGGAAGAAACAGAACCAGGAAGGGGAUUUUGACGAAUAGGCCAAGAACAGAGGACGAGUGGAAGACGAGGAACGCACGGUGAAAAACGAAAAACACAGAGCAAAAACACAACACAAAACCCAGACCCAGAUUUGAAGGGAGAAGCCAGCACCGUCUUCAGUUCUUCAUCGCAAGGACCGAGAAAGCAGGGAAAAACAAAGGAAAAAAGGGAACAGCGGGCACAGAAGCAAAGGAAAGCAGGAGGGAAAUCUAUAAGCAGAGGAGGGCCACCGCGCUGCCACCAUCCACUCCGUCUCCAGAGAACAGAUUCUGAAGGAGGGAUGAACAAAUCUUCAAGUUAUAGUUACAACACUAAUUCUUCCCAGUUCACCACAUCUUCUUCAGCAUCUUCUGCAUCUGCCAUGCUUCCACACGAAGGCUAAAUUGAUGACCAGUGUAAUUAAUUUGAGAUUCUUAUCCAGUUAAAAUAUUUAAUUUUGCCCCUUUUAUUGUACUGAUCAAUUUUCACGUGUUUUCUGUAAAUUGAUUUUCUUUGAAACUGAGUACAAAUUCAUGUCCAAUUGAACAGUUUAAGUUCACUCUGUUUAAAGAUUUAUAAAUUAGCCACCCGGCUCAACUGCUAAA